UCAGAUCUUUUUUACAAGAUGGUAUAAUUUCGAUAGGAUAAAAAUAAUUUUGAAGAGAAGAUAGGAUAAAAAUAAUAACAUAUAUUAAAACCAUCAAAAGAAAAACGUAAACGUUGUGCAUGGGAAAAGACGAAGCCAGAAUAAAUAGGCAUGUCGAUACGCACGUGGCCUUCACCCCGGCCUCACUCUUUAUUUCUUCUCCUCACCUCUCUUUCUCAUGUCCGCACAAGGUGGUGGAGCGGCGGCGGCUAUGGAGGUGAAUUCGACGGAGUUAAAAGAGAAGAUCUGCAGUGGCGAUGAAGGUUGACGGCUCCCCUCCCUCCCCCUCCCCCACUGAGGGUAGAAGAGGUAGAUCCGUUGGCCGUGGGUUCAAGGAGCGGUGGAUCGGGUGAUCAUGGUCCUCGGGAGGCUGCAGAUCGACGCCAGGCCUCCUGCCGAUAGCGCCUAUGAGAACAUCCCUCUCUCCUACUGUUGCAUUUUAUCGAUUUGUGAAUUUGAAUGUGAUAGAAAUUAUAACUUGUGAAUUUUUAAUUGUAUUGUGGAAUUCGAGAUUGUGGAUUUGGAGUUUAUGUAAUUGAGAAUCUCACUAGCGGCUACUAGAUUCGAUUAGAGGCUUAAUUUUGUGAAUCUAAUCAAUAUUCGCCAAAAGUUCUUUGCGUGGUUGCACAAUGCUAUCCAAUCGUGUUAAUCCACACAAAGCAAGUCUCUUCACCUGUAAAAAAUAAUUUCAUAAGCGGUCUAUGAAAAUAUAUUUUCAUGUG
This 761-nucleotide long non-coding RNA is filed under the name Oryza sativa (Asian cultivated rice). Its description in RNAcentral is "long non-coding RNA (OSAT_LNC000742)". Lineage: Eukaryota; Viridiplantae; Streptophyta; Magnoliopsida; Poales; Poaceae. The record is from RNAcentral.